ACGGGUGCGGAACACGUACGCAACCUUCCUUUAAGUGGGGGAUGCCCGGCGAAAGUCGGAUUAAUACCCCGUAAUACUGUUGAGUGGCAUCACUUGACAAUUAUAGCUCCGGCGCUUGAAGAUGGGCGUGCGUCUGAUUAGGUAGUUGGCGGGGUAACGGCCCACCAAGCCUUCGAUCAGUAACUGGUGUGAGAGCACGACCAGUCACACGGGCACUGAGACACGGGCCCGACUCCUACGGGAGGCAGCAGUAAGGAAUAUUGGUCAAUGGACGCAAGUCUGAACCAGCCAUGCCGCGUGGAGGAUGAAGGCCCUCUGGGUUGUAAACUUCUUUUAUCUGGGAAGAAACCUCCGAUUUCCAUUGGAGCCGACGGUACCAGAUGAAUAAGCACCGGCUAACUCCGUGCCAGCAGCCGCGGUAAUACGGAGGGUGCAAGCGUUAUCCGGAUUCACUGGGUUUAAAGGGUGCGUAGGUGGGUCUGUAAGUCAGUGGUGAAAUCUCCGGGCUUAACUCGGAUACUGCCGUUGAUACUAUAGAUCUUGAAUAUCGCGUAGGUAAGCGGAAUAUGUCAUGUAGCGGUGAAA
This 585-nucleotide ribosomal RNA is filed under the name Chitinophagaceae bacterium StRD691. Its description in RNAcentral is "bacterial SSU rRNA". It matches the Rfam family "Bacterial small subunit ribosomal RNA", at positions 102 to 686 of the family's 1533-position model. Lineage: Bacteria; Pseudomonadati; Bacteroidota; Chitinophagia; Chitinophagales; Chitinophagaceae. The record is from RNAcentral.